GACGAACGCUGGCGGCGUGCCUAAUACAUGCAAGUUGAGCGCUGAAGGUUGGUACUUGUACCAAAUGGAUGAGCAGCGAACGGGUGAGUAACGCGUGGGGAAUCUGCCUUUGAGCGGGGGACGACAUUUGGAAACGAAUGCUAAUACCGCAUAAAAACUUUAAACACAAGUUUUAAGUUUGAAAGAUGCAAUUGCAUCACUCAAAGAUGAUCCCGCGUUGUAUUAGCUAGUUGGUGAGGUAAAGGCUCACCAAGGCGAUGAUACAUAGCCGACCUGAGAGGGUGAUCGGCCACAUUGGGACUGAGACACGGCCCAAACUCCUACGGGAGGCAGCAGUAGGGAAUCUUCGGCAAUGGACGAAAGUCUGACCGAGCAACGCCGCGUGAGUGAAGAAGGUUUUCGGAUCGUAAAACUCUGUUGGUAGAGAAGAACGUUGGUGAGAGUGGAAAGCUCAUCAAGUGACGGUAACUACCCAGAAAGGGACGGCUAACUACGUG
RNAcentral lists this ribosomal RNA (497 nucleotides) under uncultured bacterium. RNAcentral describes it as "partial 16S ribosomal RNA". It matches the Rfam family "Bacterial small subunit ribosomal RNA", at positions 28 to 507 of the family's 1533-position model. The record is from RNAcentral.